AGGAUCCUGCUCGUCGCUGGUUCGCCUCGCAGGAGGCGAAGCAAGAGGGAACCCGGUGCGAUUCCGGGGCUGCCCCGCAGCGGUGAGCGGGAACGACCGCCGUCACACGCACUGGAGAGAUCCGGGAAGCGACGGCCAGUAGGUGCCAUCGAGCGUGCCCGCGAGCCCGAAGACCUGCCAGCGGCAUGCCGGGGUG
Molecule: non-coding RNA, 196 nt
Filed under: Nonomuraea sp.
Lineage: Bacteria; Bacillati; Actinomycetota; Actinomycetes; Streptosporangiales; Streptosporangiaceae
Also listed under: 1 other name
Source: RNAcentral